GACGAACGCUGGCGGCGUGCUUAACACAUGCAAGUCGAACGGAAAGGCCCUGCUUUUGUGGGGCGCUCGAGUGGCGAACGGGUGAGUAACACGUGAGUAACCUGCGCUUGAGUUUGGGAUAACGUCAGGAAACUGGGGAUAAUACCGGAUAGGAGCUCCUGAGGCAGGGUGGGGGUUGGAAAGUUUCGGCGGUUGGGGAUAGACUCGCGGCUUAUCAGCUUGUUGGUGGGGGAGGGGCUUACCAAGGCUUUGACGGGUAGCCGGCCUGAGAGGGUGACCGGCCCCAUUGGGACUGCGAUACGCCCCAGACUCCUACGGGAGGCAGCAGUGGGGAGUAUUGCACAAUGGGCGGAAGCCUGAUGCAGCGACGCCGCGUGCGGGAUGACGUCCUUCGGGUUGUAAACCGCUUUCGCCUGUGACGAAGCGUGAGUGACGGUAAUGGGUAAAGAAGCACCGGCUAACUACGUG
Molecule: ribosomal RNA, 468 nt
Filed under: uncultured bacterium
Lineage: Bacteria
Description: partial 16S ribosomal RNA
Rfam family: Bacterial small subunit ribosomal RNA
Source: RNAcentral